Molecule: non-coding RNA, 350 nt
Organism: Actinobacteria bacterium RBG_16_68_21
Lineage: Bacteria; Bacillati; Actinomycetota
Source: Rfam
GGCUGUUCGCCCGUUAAAGCGGCACGCGAGCUGGGUUUAGAACGUCGUGAGACAGUUCGGUCCCUAUCCGUCGCAGGCGCAGGAGGUUUGAGGGGAGCUAUCCCUAGUACGAGAGGACCGGGAUGGACGUACCGCUGGUGUGCCAGUUGUCCUGCCAAGGGCAUGGCUGGUUGGCUACGUACGGCACGGAUAAGCGCUGAAGGCAUCUAAGUGCGAAGCCGGCCCCAAGAUGAGACCUCCCACCGUUCGCGGAUAAGACCCCUGAGAGAACAUCAGGUAGAUAGGCCGGAGGUGUACGCGCAGCAAUGCGCUCAGCCGACCGGUACUAAUCGGUCGAGGGCUUGAAUCGA